This is an RNA transcript of Grus americana (Whooping crane), 3783 nucleotides long. It is a transcript of the gene named 5-hydroxytryptamine receptor 1D, with no coding region annotated. Lineage: Eukaryota; Metazoa; Chordata; Aves; Gruiformes; Gruidae. The transcript is spliced from 8 exons. The record is from RefSeq and is a predicted model, not a curated record.
UUGUGGGGUCGGGUGCGAGGACCACCCAGAAGGAAGGGUGCAAACCCCAUCCCCGUCCCCCCCACCGGGGCAGCGCACCCCCGGCGCCCACCCCCGGAGCCGAGGCUCCCCUCGCAGGCGGCGUGGGUGCGUCCUGGAUGGCUGGGGCCGCUAUCGCUGGCUGCGCGGGACCCCUCGCUGCCCCGACCCAGCCCGACGGGCAGAGCCCCGGCCCCCGGGGCUGAGCGAGCCGCCGCUGCCGCCGCGCCCGAGGAGCUGCCGGGCCCCGCGGCGCGGCGGAGCGGGACGCGCGGCGGUGGCGCAGGCGAGCCCAGCCGGGGCCGCCGGUAUUUAGGGCGGGCGCUGCCGGAGCCGGGCGAGAGCGGGCGGGUAGCUGGACGGCGGGGACGGCAGAUCCUGAUGGUCUCAGAGUAGCAUCUUCACCAGACAUCACUCAUCCAUUUUUCCUGAAAUCACAGAUGCUCAGUCUCUGUUGCAGCUGAUAGUCACUCCCUUUAUCACACUUCUGGAGGCCUGGGAGGAGAAAAAAACUUGAACACUUGUAACACAGGUAUCUUCUCGGGAACAGUGCCCAAAGCUGAACACAGGGCUCCCAUUUGGCCUCGUCCAAGACUCUAUCAUUUCUGUGGAUCUCAUUUUCCAGUGCAAUACACUAUGGCAUUUCCUCGUUUUUCUCCCAGAAGCUGCAUCCUGAUUUGAUUCUGAUCUGUGGACUGGCAGAUUCCUGUAUUUUCUUCUAAAUGUAUUUCAUGGUGUUUGAACAUGGGUUCUUGUCUCCAGGGUAUCACGACAUAUUGCACAUCUCUUCACCUCCUGGACUCUACCAGGAACCACUGAAUGUGUGGACACAAGAACUGACCAGAAGAUCCCUCCCCUGUGCAGCCUUCAGUACUGUUGGAAGUGUAUAAACGAGGGACAUGGUUAGCCCAGAUCACAUCCAGGGUGGAGAGGGACAGUUGCAGAGGGCAGUCCUGGUCUCUGGUGGUCCUGCAGUUAGGAUAUUGAUUGACAGCUGUUUGAAACAAUAGGACUAACGGGCUUGUUCAUAUACAGAUUUUCUCCUGUGUGGGAUGUGUGAUCAGCACUGUGUUCAGAUCCCCUUAACCAGUCUAUUCUUCCUCUUUUGAGAGAAUCACCACUCCACAAGUCAUUACAAUCAUUCACCAUGCGCAUGGUCGGGAACAUCUUAGUACUUGGAACAUGCUGUGAGCUUCAGUGCCAACGCAUUGAAUUCUGACUUCCAUUGCCAUUGAACACCUGACUUCAGCAUUUGAAGACGAACGUUGAAAAGAAAACCUGAAUGUCUGAAGGAAUAAAUGAAAAUGGAGCUCUGCACUUUUCAAUAAGAGAUCUUAAUUUACAAAUCUGGAGAAAUUAUGUUUACAGAAGGAAUCCAAACAGUAUUGUUUUCUAUCUUGGGUACUCUACUAAUGAAGUGUCCCUUAUAAAUAUCAAAAAUGUGACAUUCAGCUAUUAGAGAGGAAGGGAAAAUACUCUUGAGGAUAGCUUUGUCCCAAGCACAGGGGCAUCAAUUACAUGCCCAGAUGUUUCUUUUUCAGCCUCUCACUCUUCAGUAUUGAUUUAUGCAUCAGUUUUGCAGAUUAGUUCAGAAAGGAGGUAUGAAUAAAAGACAAUAAAAAAUGAUUUAGUCACCUGCAAGAUGAAAAUGAAAAACAUCUAAAUUCCCAGCACUUAUAGUACCACUUGUAUUGACAUACACCAGAAUCAUGUCUGGAUGAUUAUAUUAACAUUUUGCUUUAAAAAUGAUGUCAUUGAUGUGAUGGAAAAUCUAGCUUAGGAGAGUACCUCAUCUACUGUGUAAGCUGAAGUUUUCAACAAGUUCAUAUUUUUUCAGUGUUGGACUCCAGUAUGAAAAGUUCUACUUUAGCAAAAAAGUAAGCAUCUUUCUUCAUUGUCCCAGAAAGAUUACACUGGAAAGUGAAAAGUGAAAGCAGAGCAAAGGAUGACUCAGUAUAACCAUUCAGCAGAGCUGUCUCUCCAGAGCUCAGCAAAUAAGUCAUUAAAUUUCACUGAAACGCCCCUGGCUUUGGAUGAAAGGACACUAUUAGGGCUGAAGAUUUCACUGUCAGUCCUUCUGUCUGUUAUAACUUUGGCAACAAUCCUUGCAAACAUUUUUGUUGUUAUUACAAUUUUUCUGACUAGAAAGCUCCACACACCUGCAAAUUACCUCAUUGGCUCUUUGGCAGUGACUGACCUUUUAGUGUCUGUCCUAGUAAUGCCCAUCAGUAUUGCUUACACUGUCACCCACACAUGGGCCUUUGGCCAAGUGUUGUGUGAUAUCUGGUUAUCAUCAGACAUCACAUGCUGCACAGCCUCAAUCCUACACCUCUGUGUUAUUGCACUGGACAGAUACUGGGCUAUCACAGAUGCUCUGCAAUAUGCCAAACGCCGGACCGCUGGCCGAGCAGCACUCAUGAUUGCCGUGGUUUGGAUGAUCUCUAUUAGUAUUUCUGUGCCACCAUUUUUCUGGAGACAAGUGAAAGCUCAUGAAGAAAUUGCAAAGUGUACUGUGAACACAGAUCAAAUUUUCUACACAAUUUAUUCCACUUGUGGAGCUUUCUAUAUCCCAACUGUGCUCCUCCUGAUACUGUAUGGUAGAAUUUAUGUAGCAGCUCGAUCCAGGAUUCUGAAGCCACCCUCAUUAUAUGGGAAACGUUUUACUACUGCACACCUGAUCACCGGCUCUGCUGGGUCUUCCCUCUGCUCCAUUAAUGCUAGCCUUCAUGAAGGGCAUUCCCAUUCAGGUGGAUCCCCAAUAUUUAUCAAUCAUGUUAAAAUAAAACUUGCAGAUAGUGUCCUGGAAAGGAAAAGAAUUUCUGCUGCAAGAGAAAGGAAAGCCACCAAAACUUUAGGCAUUAUUCUGGGAGCUUUCAUUUUCUGCUGGCUGCCUUUUUUUGUCAUGUCCCUAGUCCUACCAAUCUGCCAAGAUGCUUGUUGGUUUCAUCCCAUCCUUCUGGACUUUUUUACAUGGCUAGGUUACUUAAACUCAUUGAUCAAUCCAGUCAUUUAUACAGCUUUUAAUGAAGAAUUUAAACAGGCUUUCCAAAAACUAAUACAUUUCAAAAAGUGUUCAUCUUGAAACUCCCCUGUUGUGUUACUGACCCUUGUGCAAUCUUGCAGCCUACCUGGAAAUUUUCUGUGCUUUUAUUCCUAGGGUAGGAGUAGUAAUUGCCAUCUCUGCUGCUACCUUGUGCUGUGCAUGUAACUGGGAACUUCUUGCCAAUUUGGUACUUUCUGUCUGGAAUUCUGUGUCCCAGAACAGAACUUGUCUGUGGUCUCUGCAGUGAUCAUUUGUGUAUGUAAGAUCAACACAUGAAGUAAGCUUUGUAACAAGUGAAGGAGCGUGAACCAGAGAGCUGAGUUUAUAUGAUAUGACACAUAUUAUCCAGUUCUGCCAUGUCUUUGUAACCUGAUGGGAGGAAAAUCUGUGCAUAUUUGCAGGACGUCAGUAUUUCUUCUGUAUAUUAUUACCAAUUUAUGUAGGCUGACAAAGUUUCUGGAGAACAGGAUCUGAUGUCUACAUUUUCUAUGGCAGGUGUCCUAUCCAUUUGAAAUUGAUAAAACCUGUAACUUUUUCAGAAGUUGUAUGACACAGCCUGACUAUAAGCAGCAGGGCACAGAAGGCAUAGUGCAUAUGUAAGUUCUGUGGAUAUUUCACGAAUACUUUAUUUAUUUGAAACAAUUUUUACACAUUUUAUCAUGAAUAGAAUAGCCAGUGCAGGAAUACUAUGAAAUAAAUAGCAUGAAAAUUAUUGAAAAGUA